AUCCUUGUGUACAUGAACGUGAUGAUUGGGUGCUCACACUAUUGUGUGAGAUGUGCCUCCCUCUACACCUUGUUACGACUUACCCAUCUGAUG
This 93-nucleotide small nucleolar RNA is filed under the name Sciurus vulgaris (Eurasian red squirrel). RNAcentral describes it as "Small nucleolar RNA U13 (ENSSVLG00005007054.1)". It matches the Rfam family "Small nucleolar RNA U13". Lineage: Eukaryota; Metazoa; Chordata; Mammalia; Rodentia; Sciuridae. The record is from Rfam by way of RNAcentral.